This 468-nucleotide ribosomal RNA is filed under the name uncultured bacterium. RNAcentral's name for it is "partial 16S ribosomal RNA". It matches the Rfam family "Bacterial small subunit ribosomal RNA", at positions 28 to 507 of the family's 1533-position model. The record is from RNAcentral.
GACGAACGCUGGCGGCGUGCUUAACACAUGCAAGUCGAACGGAAAGGCCCUGCUUUUGUGGGGUGCUCGAGUGGCGAACGGGUGAGUAACACGUGAGUAACCUGCCCUUGACUUUGGGAUAACUUCAGGAAACUGGGGCUAAUACCGGAUAGGAGCUCCUGCUGCAUGGUGGGGGUUGGAAAGUUUCGGCGGUUGGGGAUGGACUCGCGGCUUAUCAGCUUGUUGGUGGGGUAGUGGCUUACCAAGGCUUUGACGGGCAGCCGGCCUGAGAGGGUGACCGGCCACAUUGGGACUGAGAUACGGCCCAGACUCCUACGGGAGGCAGCAGUGGGGAAUAUUGCAUAAUGGGCGGAAGCCUGAUGCAGCAACGCCGCGUGCGGGAUGACGGCCUUCGGGUUGUAAACCGCUUUCGCCUGUGACGAAGCGUGAGUGACGGUAAUGGGUAAAGAAGCACCGGCUAACUACGUG